CCGAAUUGUCAACAAGAGUUGUUGCUGGUCCUCAAAACGGGGGCAUGUGCACGCUCUGUUAACACAUCCAUUCACACCCUGUGCACCCUCUGUAGUUCUGUGGUUGGGGGACCUGUCCUCCUGAUGUGGUUCUGCAUCUUUACACACACACUGUAACAAAGUCUCAUGGAAUGCAUGCCGCGUUUAACGCAAUACAAUA
Molecule: unclassified non-coding RNA, 199 nt
Filed under: uncultured Tomentella
Lineage: Eukaryota; Fungi; Basidiomycota; Agaricomycetes; Thelephorales; Thelephoraceae
Description: sequence contains ITS1
Source: RNAcentral